This 449-nucleotide ribosomal RNA is filed under the name uncultured bacterium. RNAcentral's name for it is "partial 16S ribosomal RNA". It matches the Rfam family "Bacterial small subunit ribosomal RNA", at positions 28 to 523 of the family's 1533-position model. The record is from RNAcentral.
GACGAACGCUGGCGGCAGGCUUAACACAUGCAAGUCGAACGCAUCCUUCGGGGUGAGUGGCAGACGGGUGAGUAACGCGUGGGAACGUGCCCUUCAGUUCGGGAUAACCCAGGGAAACUUGGGCUAAUACCGGAUACGUGCGAGAGCAGAAAGAUUUAUCGCUGAAGGAUCGGCCCGCGUCUGAUUAGCUAGUUGGUGGGGUAAUAGCCCACCAAGGCGACGAGCAGUAGCUGGUCUGAGAGGAUGAUCAGCCUCAUUGGGACUGAGACACGGCCCAAACUCCUACGGGAGGCAGCAGUGGGGAAUAUUGGACAAUGGGCGCAAGCCUGAUCCAGCCAUGCCGCGUGAGUGAUGAAGGCCUUAGGGUUGUAAAGCUCUUUCGUCCGGGACGAUAAUGACGGUACCGGAAGAAGAAGCCCCGGCUAACUUCGUGCCAGCCGCCGCGGUAA